UUAGUUAACUUUGCUAUCGAGUUGACAAAAUAUAUUGUACAAUGUAUGUUUGACUGUGUCAAAUAAAUACAUAUAAUAUAGCUUCUGAAAGAAUUAUCUCAUAUCUUGAAAAGUAUAUAAAAAAGACAUUAUGGAUACUAUUCAAAAUUUUAUUAUAAAAAAAAAAGCUAAAGUUUGGAUCAUCAUUUAUUACACAACUGCACUUAUCUCUAGCAGUAUAAUGCAGAAGUGAACUUUAUGGCUAUCACCACUGUGUUGAAUCAUAAUGUGAAUUUUUUAGCUUGAUUAAACAAAGUAGGACCCAGAUGAAGUAUUCAGAUUACAAAAGUUUAUACUUGUCAAUAAGAAUUGAACCUGCCAUUUUCACACUACAAUGUUUGAUACUACAAUAGAUCACAUGGCCAGAGAAGACAUGAGAGAAAUCUGUUUUUUAAUGUGCCAUUGCUCAUAUUUUGUAUCUGAUGGAAAAUUUCAUUCCCAAACAAGAUUUCUUCUGAUGGGGAAAUGCUAUUGCACCUUAUGUGGCCUAACAGAACUAGAUAUUUCACAUGAAAGAAUAAUAAUUGUAGAAUGCUUAAAGAAUAAUGUCUGUUUAUAUAUCUUCUACAUAGACAAUGUGUUUGUAGUUUGAUCUAGUUCUGAAUUUGUAAAUAAUUUUGCCAAAAUAACGAGCAAUGAGACUCUAGACAUAAAACUUCAAUUAGAU
This 706-nucleotide long non-coding RNA is filed under the name Androctonus crassicauda. Lineage: Eukaryota; Metazoa; Arthropoda; Arachnida; Scorpiones; Buthidae. The record is from RNAcentral.